This 253-nucleotide non-coding RNA is filed under the name uncultured prokaryote. RNAcentral describes it as "partial 16S ribosomal RNA". It matches the Rfam family "Bacterial small subunit ribosomal RNA", at positions 524 to 776 of the family's 1533-position model. RNAcentral also lists the same sequence under 1 other name. The record is from RNAcentral.
UACGUAGGGGGCAAGCGUUGUCCGGAUUUAUUGGGCGUAAAGCGCGUGUAGGCGGCCAUGCAGGUCCGCUGUGAAAACUGGAGGCUCAACCUCCAGAGGUCGGUGGAAACCGCAUGGCUAGAGUCCGGAAGAGGGGACUGGAAUUCCCGGUGUAGCGGUGGAAUGCGCAGAUAUCGGGAGGAACACCCGUGGCGAAGGCGGGUCCCUGGGACGGUACUGACGCUGAGACGCGAAAGCGUGGGGAGCGAACAGG